AGAGUUUGAUCCUGGCUCAGAUUGAACGCUGGCGGCAUGCCUUACACAUGCAAGUCGAACGGCAGCACGGACUUCGGCCUGGUGGCGAGUGGCGAACGGGGGAGUAAUAUAUCGGAACGUGCCCUAGAGUGGGGGAUAACGUAGCGAAAGUUACGCUAAUACCGCAUACGAUCUCAGGAUGAAAGCAGGGGACCGCAAGGCCUUGUGCUCCUGGAGCGGCCGAUAUCUGAUUAGCUAGUUGGUGGGGUAAAAGCCCACCAAGGCAACGAUCAGUAGCCGACCUGAGAGGACGACCAGCCACACUGGGACUGAGACACGGCCCAGACUCCUACGGGAGGCAGCAGUGGGGAAUUUUGGACAAUGGGGGCAACCCUGAUCCAGCAAUGCCGCGUGAGUGAAGAAGGCCUUCGGGUUGUAAAGCUCUUUUGUCAGGGAAGAAACGGUCCGGGCUAAUACCUCGUGCUAAUGACGGUACCGUAAGAAUAAGCACCGGCUAACUACGUGCCAGCAGCCGCGGUAAUACGUAGGGUGCGAGCGUUAAUCGGAAUUACUGGGCGUAAAGCGUGCGCAGGCGGUUAUAUAAGACAGAUGUGAAAUCCCCGGGCUCAACCUGGGACCUGCAUUUGUGACUGUAUAGCUAGAGUACGGUAGAGGGGGAUGGAAUUCCGCGUGUAGCAGUGAAAUCCGUAGAUUGCGGAGGAACACCGAUGGCGAAGGCAAUCCCCUGGACCUGUACUGACGCUCAUGCACGAAAGCGUGGGGAGCGAACAGGAUUAGAUACCCUGGUAGUCCACGCCGUAAACGAUGCUCACUCGCUGUUUGCGAUAUACAGCAAGCGGCCAAGCGAAAGCAUUAAGUGUCCCACCUGGGGAGUACGAUCGCAAGAUUGAAACUCAAAGGAAUUGACGGGGGCCCGCACAAGCGGUGGAGCAUGUGGUUUAAUUCGAUGAUACGCGAGGAACCUUACCAGGGCUUAAAUGUAGGUUGCAUUAGACAGAGAUGUUUAUUUCUUCGGACUACUUACAAGGUGCUGCAUGGUUGUCGUCAGCUCGUGCCGUGAGGUGUCAGGUUAAGUCCUAUAACGAGCGCAACCCCUGUCGUUAGUUGCCAGCAUGUAAAGAUGGGGACUCUAACGAGACUGCCGGUGCAAACCGCGAGGAAGGUGGGGAUGACGUCAAAUCAUCACGGCCCUUACGUCCUGGGCUACACACGUGCUACAAUGGCCGGUACAGAGAGCAGCCACUGGGUGACCAGGAGCGAAUCUCCAAAGUCGGUCUCAGUUCGGAUCGAAGUCUGCAACCCGACUUCGUGAAGCUGGAUUCGCUAGUAAUCGCAUAUCAGCCAUGAUGCGGUGAAUACGUUCCCGGGCCUUGUACACACCGCCCGUCAAACAAUGGAAGCUGGGGGUACCUGAAGUCUGUAACCGCAAGGAGCGGCCUAGGGUAAAACUAGUAACUGGUGUUAAGUCGUAACAAGGUAACCC
RNAcentral lists this ribosomal RNA (1483 nucleotides) under uncultured bacterium. Its description in RNAcentral is "partial 16S ribosomal RNA". It matches the Rfam family "Bacterial small subunit ribosomal RNA". The record is from RNAcentral.